This 81-nucleotide transfer RNA is filed under the name Streptomyces rubrolavendulae. Its description in RNAcentral is "tRNA-Pro". Lineage: Bacteria; Bacillati; Actinomycetota; Actinomycetes; Kitasatosporales; Streptomycetaceae. The record is from RNAcentral.
CCCUGCGGUGGACGCGGACGCCGGCGCCGUCGCCGCCUUGGGGGCGGCGACAGGCUCGGGGGUCGCGCCCGGCUCGGGGGC